GCUGCGGUGGUGGAGGUGCAGGAAGGUGAGGGCCAUGGGGCGCGGCGUGGGGAGCGCCAACGCCCAGGAAGGAGCGCAUGUUGAGCAGGGAGCCCUGUGCGAGGAAUGCGCUGUUGGUCCAGUUGGAGAACUUGCCGAUGUGGCAGGUGUACAGUCCGUGGCUAGGCAGGAAGGCGGGGUGUUGCAGCGGCGCCCCGGCGGAGGGCCCGUGCGCGCCGGGGUGGCCCGCGGGUGGUGGUGGCGAAGCCUUGGGCGCACCGUCGGGGCUCGUGGCUGUCUCCGCCAGCGACCAGAUCUUGGGCUUGCCGUGCGGCGCACCCUGCAGCCGCGCCUGCCCCGCCGCCCAGCUCCGCGGCCCCCGGUCGGCCCGACGAGGCGGCGGC
Homo sapiens (human) is the source of this 383-nucleotide long non-coding RNA. The record is from Ensembl. Lineage: Eukaryota; Metazoa; Chordata; Mammalia; Primates; Hominidae.